This 253-nucleotide unclassified non-coding RNA is filed under the name uncultured Alteromonadales bacterium. RNAcentral's name for it is "contains 16S-23S intergenic spacer region". It matches the Rfam family "Bacterial small subunit ribosomal RNA", at positions 524 to 776 of the family's 1533-position model. The record is from RNAcentral. Lineage: Bacteria; Pseudomonadati; Pseudomonadota; Gammaproteobacteria; Alteromonadales.
UACGGAGGGUGCAAGCGUUAAUCGGAAUUACUGGGCGUAAAGCGCGCGUAGGCGGUUUGAUAAGCAGGAGGUGAAAGCCCUGGGCUUAACCUGGGAACGGCAUUCUGAACUGUCUGACUGGAGUAUAGUAGGGGGUAGUGGAAUUUCCGGUGUAGCGGUGAAAUGCGUAGAUAUCGGAAGGAACACCAGUGGCGAAGGCGACUAACUGGACCAAUACUGACGCUGAGGUGCGAAAGCGUGGGGAGCAAACAGG